Molecule: ribosomal RNA, 492 nt
Filed under: uncultured bacterium
Lineage: Bacteria
Description: partial 16S ribosomal RNA
Rfam family: Bacterial small subunit ribosomal RNA
Source: RNAcentral
GAUGAACGCUAGCUACAGGCUUAACACAUGCAAGUCGAGGGGAAACGACAUCGAAAGCUUGCUUUUGAUGGGCGUCGACCGGCGCACGGGUGAGUAACGCGUCUCCAACCUGCCCAUCACUUGGGAAUAACCUUGCGAAAGUAAGACUAAUACCCAAUGAUAUCCCACGAAGGCAUCGGAAUGGGAUUAAAGAUUUAUCGGUGAUGGAUGGGGAUGCGUCUGAUUAGCUUGUUGGCGGGGUAACGGCCCACCAAGGCAACGAUCAGUAGGGGUUCUGAGAGGAAGGUCCCUGACAUUGGAACAGAGACACGGUCCAAACUCCUACGGGAGGCAGCAGUGAGGAAUAUUGGGCAAUGGGCGAGAGCCUGAGCCAGCCAAGUAGCGUGCAGGAAGACGGCCCUAUGGGUUGUAAACUGCUUUUAUAAGGGAAUAAAGUGGGUCACGUGUGACUUUUUGCAUGUACCUUAUGAAUAAGGACCGGCUAAUUCCGUG